CACAGAUAAAAGGUCAAGAAAAACCAGGAAGAGAGAGAGAGGGCGGGAAGGAUCUAUGAACCAUAGAGAAAGAGACAAUCUACAUUGGCUGGAUUUACCGUGUACAAGCUUGACUGUUUUGGACUUACCUGUUGGCGUUUAGACCUGGACCUACCGAGAACCAGAUUUGUGUACCGAACCCUGCUAUCCUUGACCUUACCUGUGGCCUGGGUGGACCAGGACAGCGAAACAAACACACAGAGGACCUGAGCCCUAGGACCAUGCCUCAGGACUACCUGAGCCCUAGGACCAUGCCUCAGGACUACCUGACUGACUCCUUGCUGUCCCCAGUCCACCUGGCUGUGCUGCUGCUCCAGUUUCAACUGUUCUGCCUGCGGCUAUGGAACCCUGACCUGUUCACCGGACGUGCUACCUGUCCCAGACCUGCUGUUUUCAACUCUCUAGAGACAGCAGGAGUGUCCGGAACCUCCUACGACGGUCCACAGGCCGGAGCCCUCCUUUGCGC
RNAcentral lists this long non-coding RNA (505 nucleotides) under Salmo salar (Atlantic salmon). RNAcentral's name for it is "lncRNA (ENSSSAG00000121462.1)". Lineage: Eukaryota; Metazoa; Chordata; Actinopteri; Salmoniformes; Salmonidae. The record is from RNAcentral.